Molecule: ribosomal RNA, 463 nt
Filed under: uncultured bacterium
Lineage: Bacteria
Description: bacterial SSU rRNA
Rfam family: Bacterial small subunit ribosomal RNA
Source: RNAcentral
GGACGAACGCUGGCGGCGUGCUUAACACAUGCAAGUCGAACGGUAAGGCCCUUCGGGGUACACGAGUGGCGAACGGGUGAGUAACACGUGGGUGAUCUGCCCUGCACUUCGGGAUAAGCCUGGGAAACUGGGUCUAAUACCGGAUAGGACCAUGGACUUCACGGUUUGUGGUGGAAAGCUUUUGCGGUGUGGGAUGGGCCCGCGGCCUAUCAGCUUGUUGGUGGGGUAAUGGCCUACCAAGGCGACGACGGGUAGCCGGCCUGAGAGGGUGUCCGGCCACACUGGGACUGAGAUACGGCCCAGACUCCUACGGGAGGCAGCAGUGGGGAAUAUUGCACAAUGGGCGCAAGCCUGAUGCAGCGGCGCCGCGUGAGGGAUGACGGCCUUCGGGUUGUAAACCUCUUUCAAUAGGGACGAAGCGCAAGUGACGGUACCUAUAGAAGAAGCACCGGCCAACUACGUG